CCUACGGGGGGCAGCAGUGAGGAAUAUUGGUCAAUGGACGCAAGUCUGAACCAGCCAUGCCGCGUGCAGGAUGACGGCUCUAUGAGUUGUAAACUGCUUUUGUACGAGGGUAAACCCCGAUACGUGUAUCUGGUUGAAAGUAUCGUACGAAUAAGGAUCGGCUAACUCCGUGCCAGCAGCCGCGGUAAUACGGAGGAUCCGAGCGUUAUCCGGAUUUAUUGGGUUUAAAGGGUGCGUAGGCGGUUUGAUAAGUUAGAGGUGAAAUGUCGGGGCUCAACUCCGAAACUGCCUCUGAUACUGUUGGGCUAGAGAAUAGUUGCGGUAGGCGGAAUGUAUGGUGUAGCGGUGAAAUGCUUAGAGAUCAUACAGAACACCGAUUGCGAAGGCAGCUUACCAAGCUAUAUCUGACGUUGAGGCACGAAAGCGUGGGUAGCAAACAGGAUUAGAUACCCGUGUAGUC
Molecule: ribosomal RNA, 460 nt
Filed under: uncultured bacterium
Lineage: Bacteria
Description: partial 16S ribosomal RNA
Rfam family: Bacterial small subunit ribosomal RNA
Source: RNAcentral